AUUCCUCCUUCAGAAGUUAGAAAAAUUCGCAUUUCCUCCCACAGCUCCCUCCCUCAGACUUUCCCCCUUUUCCCUCCCUCCAAAUCGUUCUCUCCCCCACCUCCUUCGACAAAAUAAAUUUUAAAAAAGAAAGAGUUAGGUUAUGGCAACGGAGUCAUGGGAAGGAGAAGAUGAAGGGAAAGUUACAGGUGGAAAUCCAAUGCUGAUAGUAGAAGAUGACCUUAGAGAAAUGGGGAAGAAGGUGACCUGGAGUGUCAGCUCUUGCAAGCCCAACAAUGGUGUCUCUUCCUCCGCGACGACAACCCGAUACCUAUUGCAGUAAUCAAAUUACACUCACCCUCCAAAACCAAUUUCUCCCAUUUCCUCCCCUUUCUAUCUUUGAAAACCUAACCAUUGCAUUUAUUAUAUUGCAUUUUUGGGUUUCAAAUGAUACGGCGCACAACCUCAUUUGGUUAAUAUUCAAUUCCAAAAGAAGGUUAAGCUUCAAUUAGUUGUUCUUUAUUUGGAUUUCAAGCUUGAUGAGAGCUAUACUGCGAGUAAGAUAUCCAUUCGUGCCGGUGAUGGCUCCUACAACCUAAAGGUAAGUUCUCUGUUUCGAACUAUUGAUAAUACGUUUGAGUGAUUACGUCAAUAUUGAUUUAAUCGAAACAUGUAUAAGUUAGGCAGUGAUUUACAUCUUUUGAUCUGUUCUCCAAGUCAAUUUGGUUAAUCUGCUUGUGCUUUGUGAAAAUAUUUUUAGGAGAUAAAAACAAUGGAACUUGUCAAGCCAACUGUUUGGGCUUAUCUAUACUUGUCUAGAAAUGAUCCUAGCCUUGCAUUUGAGAGCUUCCAUAAAUUCCUAUGAAGAAGCUGUAGCUAUUGGUUAUUAUUGAUACAAGUCAUGUUAGAGCUAGAAGAAGCCAAUCUACUGCUAGUUACAGCUUAGCAGAAUGGGUUAGAAGGGGAAAGAUCAAUGAAAAACUUAGAUUCUUGUAUGACAUUGUCCUUGGAUGCUAUAAGAGCAUGGGAAUGGCAGUGAUGCUGGAUGAGAUAAUUAAUUAUGUCCGGUCCUUACAGAAUCAGGUCAAGUUCCUUUCCAUGAAGCUUACUGCAGCAAGUUCAUUUUAUGACUUCAACUCAAACACAAAUGCUUUAGAAACAAUGCAAAGAGCCAAGGCAUACGAGGCAAAAGAGUUGGAAAGACUGACGGAAGAAGGGUAUGGAGGAGUCACUUGCUUCCACUCAACCUAGUCCCUUUGACUUCACUUUUGGGAGUCACAUCCAUACAACAUGAAGGAGCUUCGUUUCACAAUAUUUCCAAUUUGCAAAUAGUUAUAUAUUUGUCAUCGCUUCAUGCUAUACAAGCACAAGUGGAGAUUCAUAGCUGUAUAAGUCCUAACAACAAGUUGGGAAAUUGAAUUGAGAUUAAUUAAAAAAAAAAAAAAAAAGGCUUAGAACUUUUAUUUCAAAAAAAGAAAAUUGAUAUAAGUAAGUCCUCAAGACAAGAUAGAAUAUAUGAUCUAUAUGUUCUCAAUAGGAUGAUACUCUACACUGGCCAUGCAAUUAGAUGAAGU
Long non-coding RNA from Carya illinoinensis, 1553 nucleotides. RefSeq lists it as uncharacterized. The transcript is spliced from 3 exons. Lineage: Eukaryota; Viridiplantae; Streptophyta; Magnoliopsida; Fagales; Juglandaceae. The record is from RefSeq and is a predicted model, not a curated record.